Triticum aestivum (bread wheat) is the source of this 2209-nucleotide long non-coding RNA. RefSeq lists it as uncharacterized. The record is from RefSeq and is a predicted model, not a curated record. Lineage: Eukaryota; Viridiplantae; Streptophyta; Magnoliopsida; Poales; Poaceae. The transcript has 5 exons.
CCCACCUGAUACCUGUAGGCGAAAAAAAGAGUUAUCCCUUAGGCCGCCACAGGAGGCAAAAGCAAGUGGAAGCCAUGGCGACGGCGGAGGUGGGAGGCGAUGGCUUCGAGUUUCUGUCAGAUCCCGUUGACAGAUAUCCCUUCAUUUCAAAAUAGAUGACCCAAAGUGGAACGGAGGGAGUAACUUCCUUAUCUCCCACUCGUGGUGCGUACUGCUGGCCGUUGUGAUUCGACGCGCAACCUUAGUACUCGACUCCCUUCUUUUGGCAUAGGUCCCUCCGCCGGAUCUUGGCGGCGGCGAGUCUAUACUUGACGCUGAACCCCCCCAAACUCUGAUCUGCACAUCCGCCCAGUCCAGCACUGGUGAUGUGGGUGAUGCUGCCCUGCAGUACAAUUAGAUUUGAACAGCAGUUGUGAGGGACUUAGCUUGUCAGCGCCCAACUCAGAGCAGUCAACUGGCAAGGACGAUCCUCAGGCCCCGGGCUGGACAAAGAGGGUCCGUGUUGGGCAUGCACCUCUUGAACGUCCACCCUGUGUUGGCAAGAUAAGUGCCCUGGAGAAAACAUUGAGAUGAAGACUGAAACUGUCGUGAUUCCUGCAGUCGGAGACAACUUUGAUCCCCUUUGCCACCGUGCAGGAUGUACCGUCUCCCCUUUGCCGACGUGUGCAAACGGCGUUGCCGUGGCACUCGAAAAAGAAAACAGGCAAAAAUUAACCACCCUCCUCCAGUGGAUGCGGUUCUCGAAGACGCCAUUCAUUCAGCUGCUUUGCGCUGCACGGCGGGGAGGCCACGGCGGCGGCGGGGGAUGGAUUUGAGUUCCUCUCAGAUCAGGUUCCUGCUGCCGGCAAUUGGCGGCGACAAGUACACGCAAGCGGCGCAUACGGUGCUAGAUCUGCUGGAUGGAGCAGCCGAGUCCAGCACUAGGGAGGUGGGGAAGCGCCGCCUGUUCUCAGAGCAGUCAACGGGGCUCGACGACCUGCAGGCCCUGGCUGGACAAAAGGCUGCACUAGUGAUGCGGGCGAACACCCCACUGGAAAUGCACGCUAGCAAUACCUACACCAGGCUAUGUUCGAGAAAUUUGGUGUAGUCUUGUACGAUGCCGGACAGUACAAGGUGGAGGAGGUUGAGAAAGGCACGAGGUUCUUGGUGCACCGGUACCACCCUAAGAAGCAUGACAAAUAGUGCAAAGUUGUCUAUGAAGUGGGGGUUCUUGUAAAUGGGGCAGAGAUUGCAUGUGAGUGCGGUAAUUUUGAACACACUGGUGCUCUGCUACCAUGCGGUUAAGGUACUUGAUUUCCCAGGCUUAACCGAAGUAUCAAAGAAGAACAUUCUAAAGAGGUGGACCAGGGAUGCAAGAGAUGUGCUGCCAGAUCACACACACACACGCUAACACUAUUGAGGUGUACGACUUGGAGAUGCAAACACAACAGCAUACAAGGCGACAAUGGAGCUCCUCAAGGCAGUAGUUCAGAAGCUAAUGCCUAUAGCGGUUGUGCGUGACGGUAUGGGGAUAUAAUACAGGAUUCAAGAUGUGAAAGGCAAGGGUAUAGAAAUGAGUAAUGGGCAUGCACCGGCCUGUAGGUAUAGAAGCGAUGCUGAAGGGAGUGGAGUGGGCAAUUUGAUAGGAUUAUCAGGUCCAGAACGUAAACGGAAGGCAGGUUGUCCCACAAACAGCAGGGUUUGCCUCCAUAUGAUGAUCGCGGUGAGCAAUCGAAGAAGUGCAAUGCUGUGGCAAAAGCGACAGGCACAGCUAAGUGUGGCAUGAGCAAGUGUACGUGGUUCUGCAGUCUAUGUCGACAACCAGGUCACAAGAGUACAACUGUACAACUUGUCCUCAGAGGGGUGACCCCCCUGUGAGACCAAGGAAGGAAUCCUAAUGUUCAAACUGUAGCGUCAGCCGCCAUCGGAAGAACACGUGCAGCUAUCCGAAGUACUGCAUGUUGUAGCUAAAUGGCAACGUGGAUGGUCUCUUCCUGCACGCUUAGGCUUCUCCAUCGUUGGGUCCAAUGUUCUCAGUGUAUGAACUUCAUUUUUUUCCUACAGGUGUGAGGGCUUAGCAGUGUAUGCAGAAAUCGAAUGAUGUUGUCUAGUGUAACAACUGUGUCUGUGGGUGUAACAGAACCAUGUUGUUGUCUUUGGUUGAUCUGUAUGUGUGUAACCCCAUUAAGACAAUGUUUUCCUGUGAGUCUGAACAUUUACAUUUUUCAGA